UACGUAGGUUGCGAGCGUUGUCCGGAAUUACUGGGCGUAAAGAGCUCGUAGGUGGUUUGUCGCGUCGUCUGUGAAAUUCCGGGGCUUAACUCCGGGCGUGCAGACGAUACGGGCAGACUGGAGUGCUGUAGGGGAGACUGGAAUUCCUGGGGUAGCGGUGGAAUGCGCAGAUAUCAGGAGGAACACCGAUGGCGAAGGCAGGUCUCUGGGCAGUUACUGACACUGAGGAGCGAAAGCAUGGGUAGCGAACAGG
RNAcentral lists this ribosomal RNA (253 nucleotides) under uncultured bacterium. RNAcentral's name for it is "partial 16S ribosomal RNA". It matches the Rfam family "Bacterial small subunit ribosomal RNA", at positions 524 to 776 of the family's 1533-position model. The record is from RNAcentral.